AUUCUGCCCAAGCGGGGAAGGAUGAGAAGCUUCGACUAAGGUUCGACUCGAGCGCCAGCGAGAGAGCGUUGCCGCAGGCAACGACCCGAAGGGCGAAGCGCGCAGCGCUAGUAAUCCUUCCCCCACCACCA
RNAcentral lists this small RNA (131 nucleotides) under Escherichia coli. RNAcentral's name for it is "RtT sRNA". It matches the Rfam family "RtT RNA". Rfam says of the family: This family represents a bacterial cis-regulatory element known as RtT RNA. The exact function of RtT is unknown although it is thought that it may be involved in changing the cellular response in relation to amino acid starvation. RNAcentral also lists the same sequence under 9 other names. Lineage: Bacteria; Pseudomonadati; Pseudomonadota; Gammaproteobacteria; Enterobacterales; Enterobacteriaceae. The record is from RNAcentral.